UAUGUCUCAUAAAAUAAAAACUGUGGAAGUGUGGUUCCCUUAGCAACUGAACUCUCGUAUGUACCUACAGCCUGUGUUGCCAUGCGAUCGGGGUUCAAAAUAGCUCUUUUCAAAAAAUAACAAAUGAAGUGGCCUUACAGUUCUGAUUUUGGUGCUUCUCCUGGUACUGAGCAGAAGUGACAGCUCGCUCUGUUCCUGAGAGUGGUGGCACAAUUAUUUCGGUGGCUGAUGAGGGAUACAGUUCCCUGCAAGGGGCUUAGAAUAUUUUCCCUGUUGUCUUUCUGUGCACUGGAGAGGAGGCGAGAUCUGCAGGUUAGCUCAGAGGUGGCAAGGGAAGGCAGUGGGGAAACAGUACUGCUGCAGUGGGUGUGAGGAAGGGUAGAGAGAGCUCAGAGAUCACAGGGGAGAAGCAAGUAGAAAUGGAAGUGAGUGCAUUAAAAGAAUGGAGAUGAACCAUGUUGGUACUCGGGGAGAAACGGUUCAGAUGGUUUUUAAUUGAGGAAGGGAAGAGAAAAAAAAAGACUGGUAGUUUGAAAUUGCUAUAAAUUAAUUUUGACAAACUUGUUUCAAGGGGAAGUGCUGUGGGAACUGGGGAGAUAAGAGGCGAUUUGAGAGUGUGAAUUGCCAGCACAUCACGCCUGUGACUUCAGACUUGUUCUGUGUAUGUGAUUACCGCGCUGUUGACAACAGUACCUCCUGCUUUGGUGGGAGAGGGCAGAAGUAAGGCCAUGCCUGGGGGCACUUAGCUAACAUGCUCCAACUCCACAGUCUGGUUGCUCAGGUAAGUUGUUGGUGAGCCAUUCCCUUAGAAAUGAGAGUGUGGAGAACAUUCCUUUCUCUGUGUCCAAACGGGUCCAGGUGUGUUGGACAUCAGCUAGCAGAAGUUGCGUGGGUGCAUGGAGAGCAGGGUACAGCACAAGUGCAGGUCUCAGCUCUAUGGUGGUAUUUGGUUGGCAGUGGAAUGGUAAAAACCUUCUAGUCUUAUCAACGUCAGUAACUUCAAUACCUUAAUAUGUGAUAUGGUUAGCUUACAUUGAUUCUAAGAGAGAUGCCGCUCUUUUCUUAAGGAAAAACAAACAAGGAAACACAGAACCUUCUUUGGAAGCAGGAAAGGACAAAAAGGGUUAACUUCAGUAUUGUUAAGGAUUAUGCCUGUGCAUGGAAGUUGUACUGAUUUAACUUAAUCUGAUUAGAAACAGUUGUGAUUAUAUUAGCGCAGCAUUCUUGUAUAGGCAUCCUUAAUUUAGUUUGUCUUGUAUCUAUCUAUUUACCUUAAGUUGAUUCAACACAAAGUGCUCUGAAAUUGAAUUAAAAACAUUUACCCAGGAGGGUUAUACCAUUUUACAUUAUUUUCUGACUCGAUUUAAUUUAGUGUAGCGUAUAUGUAGACAAGACCUUGGGGAAAAGGCUGAUCCUUUUUAUUACUUGCUGAACAGUAUGUCAUGUUUGGCUGCAGCCAUGUGAUUAUGGAAUGAAAGGGCCUGUUGUGGUGCUCGGUGGUGGAGGAUGGGCGCACUGAUCAUUGCAAACCAUUGUACAGCUUGGUCAUUCUUAGCCACAGUGGGUGAUUGUAGAUUGUUCCUCCUUAUAGAGUGGGACUUUCUUGGCUAGUACAGAUGUGAGACCUCUGGUACACUGUCUUGAGGUUGUUCCUUGGCCUGCUAAUAGAUUUGAUGCUGCUUCCCUGACACUGUCUCACCCCAGUAUGCAUGUGCCUCCGUGUGAACGGUGACUUCGGCUCCUACAAAACUGCUGGUGAAGGAAGAAGUCAUUCUGUAAGCACUGCCAGUUAACUUUCGUAUUGGAAAGCAUGAACCUAGUUGAUACACUUUGUGUUUUCUCCUGGUGGCUAAAGGUUCUCUGACAACUAAACAAAUGCUCUACAAACCCAAUUGUGUGGGUAAUAUUUCAGAAUGAAGUUGGCUGCUCUGAACAGCUGUUUUGUUUUCUGAAAUUUGCUUUUGCUACCACCUGCAAGCAUCAGGGCUGAAAGUCUCUGCAACCUUGCAGGUGUUUUCUAGAUUGGGUCACUGCAACAAACUUGCCCAUCUGUCCUCUCUUAAUUAUGCAAGUGAUGUGCUGUGCUCCAUUGUCAGUCUGUGUAGAUACUGCACAGUGUGUUAGCCAUCUGUGCCUUACUGCAGCUCAUUCGUAUCAGAGGAUAUGUUCUGGAGAGCAAAUUUAGGCAAGCAUGUAGGUUGCAGUAAUGGUGCAUUCUCUAGCACUGCUAUGUUUUCUGCUAGAGGGGCAGCUCAGUGACUUGCAGUCCUUGCAGUUGAGAAGUUGGAGGCUAGAGGUUUCCCAUAACUUCAAAAAAAAUCACGGGCUGAAACAAGAGGACUACUGGUAUUAACUGCUGGGAUGGGAUUUAGGGAAUACUUACAGGUGCUGAGAAGGCCACUUUUCAGUGGCUGAAAAAAUAAGUUUUUCUUAGUUCAUCCUAAUCUAAUCUAAUAUUCGUUCAUUAUGUACUGUUGGAAGGUAACGCUUUCUCCUUUUCUUCCUCUCCUACACAGUGCAGGAACUGGCAGGGGGUCUGGGAAGGGGUUUCCUACAUGUUGAUUUUUCUAGAGACGUGUUCACCCUCUCCCUCCCAUCAGAUGUUUGCUCACCUUAGCCAUCCUCUAGCUUGUGUUUGAGAGGGAAAAUGUAAGGCUGUGACUCCUCAAUUUCCCUCGUGAUCUCCCAGUCUCUGCCAGAUAAAUGUUGUUAGGACAUCAAGAGUUGCUUUUACUAGCUGGAC
RNAcentral lists this long non-coding RNA (2743 nucleotides) under Gallus gallus (chicken). Lineage: Eukaryota; Metazoa; Chordata; Aves; Galliformes; Phasianidae. The record is from RNAcentral.